This is a long non-coding RNA of Cannabis sativa, 623 nucleotides long. RefSeq lists it as uncharacterized. The record is from RefSeq and is a predicted model, not a curated record. The transcript is spliced from 3 exons. Lineage: Eukaryota; Viridiplantae; Streptophyta; Magnoliopsida; Rosales; Cannabaceae.
AAUGAUAGUGAUUCUUCAGUGUAACUUUUAUUUUGUAAACAUUUGUUACUAAAAUUUUUUACAAUUAAAGGAAUAUUUAAUUUCUUUCGUAUUAACAUUUUAAAUACUUAUAUUUCAAUUAUGUGUUUCACAUUUGUGAAUUCUUACGUUUUUUUCCGUCUUCAAAGUAAAGUAAAAUGUCAGCUACGUUAGCGACAUACCACGGUGGGGAUGGUGAUGGCAGGGAUCCCCCUGAUCCUUCUAGGGUACCGUCGUCUUGCGAAGCAGUUCCACCUCCGGUCAGAAAGGGUCGUGGGGUUGCCGCAAACGCUAAUCUCGAAAAAAAAAGGAGAGAAGCUGGUAAGCCCUUACCGGUGGAGGUAGAUCUUGAAACCGGCAAAGUAGUUGGCACUGAAGCCAGCAAUUAUGUUCGAUUUCUUGGCCAACAAGUGAGCAUGUUGUGCCGGGUGGUCAUCUAAAUUUUUCCGAUGUACCCCAACAAUACAAGGAUCAAGUGCUCAAUCGAAUCAGAUACUACUUUGAUAUCGAUGGGAAUCCCCACCGAGACCUACUUAUGGGGACUUUAUAUUCGGUGAUGGCGGAGCGGUAUAGUGAGCGAAAGACGCUCAGACACAAGCAUUUCA